ACGAUGAACUCCUGGCGCUGGCACACCACGCUGGCAGCGCCCCCCCACGAUGACCCAGGGGUUCAGCACCGUCUGCCCCCCCGUCACCGACGUCCCCGCAGCCUCGGCCGCGUCACGGAAGCCUCUGACGAUGAGGGGCAUCACUUUGUCCCGCUCCUCGUCCGUCAUCUUCUGGCUGACGCUGAGCAGCAUCAGCAUGUUGUCGCACUCGGUGAUGCCCAUGGCGUACAGGUCGCUCAGCACGUUGGCGCAGGCGAUGCGGCCCAUCAUGUAGGGGUCGUCCACCAGAGGGUAGAAAAAGUCGGUGGUCUGCACCAAGGAGAGCCCCCCGUGGCGCAGGGGGAUCACACAG
Molecule: long non-coding RNA, 352 nt
Filed under: Gallus gallus (chicken)
Lineage: Eukaryota; Metazoa; Chordata; Aves; Galliformes; Phasianidae
Source: RNAcentral